RNAcentral lists this ribosomal RNA (253 nucleotides) under uncultured bacterium. RNAcentral describes it as "partial 16S ribosomal RNA". It matches the Rfam family "Bacterial small subunit ribosomal RNA", at positions 524 to 776 of the family's 1533-position model. The record is from RNAcentral.
UACGUAGGGGGCAAGCGUUGUCCGGAUUUAUUGGGCGUAAAGAGCGUGUAGGCGGCCAGGUAGGUCUGCUGUGAAAACUCGAGGCUCAACCUCGAGAUGUCGGCGGAAACCAUCUGGCUAGAGUCCGGAAGAGGAAAGUGGAAUUCCCGGUGUAGCGGUGAAAUGCGCAGAUAUCGGGAGGAACACCAGUGGCGAAGGCGACUACCUGGCCUGUUCUUGACGCUGAGGCGCGAAAGCUAGGGGAGCAAACGGG